Molecule: small RNA, 576 nt
Filed under: Pongo abelii (Sumatran orangutan)
Lineage: Eukaryota; Metazoa; Chordata; Mammalia; Primates; Hominidae
Description: retained intron
Source: RNAcentral
GAAUUCCUUGUGGGCUACCCCCCACCAUCGCCAAUGGAGAUUUCAUUAGCACCAACAGAGAGUAUUUUCACUACGGAUCAGUGGUGACCUACCGCUGCAAUCCUGGAAGCAGAGGGAGAAAGGUGUUUGAGCUGGUGGGUGAGCCCUCCAUAUACUGCACCAGCAAUGAAGAUCAAGUGGGCAUCUGGAGUGGCCCAGCCCCUCAGUGCAUUAUACCUAAUAAAUGCACACCUCCAAAUGUGGAAAAUGGAAUAUUGGUAUCUGACAACAAAAGCUUAUUUUCCUUAAAUGAAGUUGUGGAGUUUAGGUGUCAGCCUGGCUUUGUCAUGAAAGGACCCCCCCGUGUGAAGUGCCGGGCCCUGAACAAAUGGGAGCCAGAGCUACCAAGCUGCUCCAGGGUAUGUCAGCCGCCUCCAGAUGUCCUGCAUGGUGAGCGUACCCAAAGGGACAAGGACAACUUUUCACCCGGGCAGGAAGUGUUCUACAGCUGUGAGCCCAGCUACGACCUCAGAGGGGCUGUGUCUCUGCGUUGCACACCCCAGGGAGACUGGAGCCCUGCAGCCCCCAGAUGCGAAG